GGACUGAUAGCGACAGUCCAAACAGUGAAGGAAUAGCUAAUGCGACGUUCAAACUCUGGGUCCCGGGACAGUGAAGCACAGAGUUUGGAAGGGUGCGGCUCCUGCUGCUUUGCCUUGUGGGCAGCCUCGGGAGAAACGAAAGCUACCGGUGUAAACCCAGACAGAAAAUCCAGAGUGGAGCCCUUAAGGCGCUGGAAGUCAGUUCUUGCAGCCAAGCGUGUGCCAAACACAUUGCUUCGCUUUCCAUUGGAUUAUACUGGUGAGAUCAGGAGGGGGAUUCUGACGACCUGGCAUCCCAAGAUCUCCGUAUCUUGCGUCCAAGCUGUUACCCGGAGAGGUCACGCCAGUGCCUCUGCUCGCAGCGACCAGAGCAACAUGGGAGGCAGCAGUUAAUUAUGGGGUAGGUCGCCCCCACCUACUGGCACAACAUUCACUUUCAGAAACUGCAGCAAAACCUGCUACUCUAAAACUGGACUGUACAGUCAUAGCAGUCGUCCCAACUGUACAACCGACUGACCCGUAGCGCACAUUAUAUUUCCAUUGUCCUUCGAGACAAACGGAUGCCGACAUCAUCAUCACCAUCAUCAUAUUAUGAUCUUAUUGUCCAAUUAUAAAUAAGGCAUGACAGCCUUUCUGCUUUCUUAGAAGUUUGCAAAGAUUCGGCAUGUCAUCUGACAAAACUUGUGUUAGCUGCGCGGUGGAGAGUAUAGGAUUCGCAGAUUCAGGAACAAUUUGUAUCGCUCAAAGAUCAGUCUCUUGAACCAGAGUGGACAACUUCACGCAUUCCAAUACUGAGUUCAUUCUACAACCAUGAAUUCACUUUCAAAGACUUACAACUCAUGUUCUCAGUAUGUGUUACUUACAUCGUUAUUAUUCUUGUUAUUUAUUCUUGCGUUUGCACAAUUUGUUGUUGCUUGCAUAUUGUGUGUAUGUCUGUUGUGCGUAGUUCUUCAUUGCUUCUAUUGUGUUUCGUUAUAUUUGUUGUGAAUAAGAUGAACCUCAGUGUAGUAUAUACUGCCAUCUAUGUCUGAGGCACUGUAAGGUUUCACUGCUAACGUAAUGAUCUCUCUGUAAUGUUUCACUAUUACGGUAAUGGUUUCUCUGUAGCAGCAAAGUUUGGGUUACGACUAGAGAUAACGAUGGCUUUGGAAUUUAUGUUAGCUAAUGAGGGGCAUGUUGUUCUGUCUUGUGGGUCUGGGAGCAGGGAUUUCGCGGUCUUUUGUCGGCGAGAGACGAAGAUAGAAGACGAGAAUGGAGAGAGUUGGUAAACCGGCGGACGGAGGGGGAAACGAAUGGUCGAAUACAUCAAAACCGAGACAAUUCCCAAAGUGAAACAGUGCAGCCCAGGUGGAGAUCGACUACAAUUCCUGCUAGUGAGAAAUGGGAAGAUAAUCAUCAGGUACAAUAUUGCUGGACCGAAAUUUUUGCUAGAUGUGUUGAUGUACCUAUACUAGCAGUAGAAGGGAGAGUGAAGACUUUAUCGAAGUACAGGACCCGAAGGAUUGAGAGGAGUUGGCAUCGUUUGGCAGUUUAACAAAGGAUCGACCUUAUUGAGUCUUCGUUGAAGGAGUAGUGACCUGCAUCGAGAGAUAACUCUUGCCAAAAGAGAAAAGAGUUCGUGCAAGGUUUGCUUUCUAAAAGAAAUUAAGAUCAGUUAUUUUAAACUGUUUAUUUACUGCAUCGUGAAUCCUUCGGACAGAACCAGAAGGAAAGUCGCGUCUAUGAAAAAAUCUAUCUCCAGAGAAGUCUCUCCCAAUUGAACGUAUAAAUUUGUUGGACUUUCGAAUUUACCAUUUUAAGAACUACAUCUGACUUUACCGCUGUAAGAACUGUUUUCGCAUUUAACGCUUUAAGAACCAGGGCCGAGUGACGAUUUGUUGAACGGCUGCAUAGCGGUUGAAUUCCGGUUAAGGUUUUCGGUUUUUUAAA
This is a long non-coding RNA of Mobula hypostoma (lesser devil ray), 1929 nucleotides long. RefSeq lists it as uncharacterized. Lineage: Eukaryota; Metazoa; Chordata; Chondrichthyes; Myliobatiformes; Myliobatidae. The transcript is spliced from 3 exons. The record is from RefSeq and is a predicted model, not a curated record.